GACGAACGCUGGCGGCGUGCUUAACACAUGCAAGUCGAACGGUAAGGCCCUUCGGGGUACACGAGUGGCGAACGGGUGAGUAACACGUGGGUGAUCCGCCCUGCACUUCGGGAUAAGCCUGGGAAACUGGGUCUAAUACCGGAUAGGACCCUGGGAUGCAUGUCCUGGGGUGGAAAGCUUUUGCGGUGUGGGAUGGGCCCGCGGCCUAUCAGCUUGUUGGUGGGGUGAUGGCCUACGAAGGCGACGACGGGUAGCCGGCCUGAGAGGGUGACCGGCCACACUGGGACUGAGAUACGGCCCAGAGUCCUACGGGAGGCAGCAGUGGGGAAUAUUGCACAAUGGGCGCAAGCCUGAUGCAGCGACGCCGCGUGAGGGAUGACGGCCUUCGGGUUGUAAACCUCUUUCAGCACCGACGAAGCGCAAGUGACGGUAGGUGCAGAAGAAGGACCGGCCAACUACGUGCCAGCCGCCGCAGUAA
This 478-nucleotide ribosomal RNA is filed under the name uncultured bacterium. RNAcentral's name for it is "partial 16S ribosomal RNA". It matches the Rfam family "Bacterial small subunit ribosomal RNA", at positions 28 to 523 of the family's 1533-position model. The record is from RNAcentral.